AAGUCGUAACAAGGUUUCCGUAGGUGAACCUGCGGAAGGAUCAUUACAAAUCCACAGGCGUGGUGAGGACUGAGCGUGAGAGAGCAUGUCUCUCUCUCCUCAUGCUCCUCUCCUCUGCCUUUCCAAACCCGUUUUAAUGUUCAUGAGCGUGUGUGUCUCUGUGUGUGGGAGAUUGUGCGUAAAGGAGGAGGAGAAGAAGCUGUGCGGCACAUCACUGUGUCUCGCGCUUUGGACACUCUCCACUACUACUACCACUACUGCCACUUCUCACUGCACCGCGCUCUUUACACAAACCCCUAGUGUGAUCACGUUGCUUCAACUUGUUACACGGCAGUGUAUUGUUUUACAUGUUCACUCAUGCAAACGAUGCUCGUCGUGGUCAUCAACAAAACGAUGAAACAACUUAUAACAAUGGAUCUCUAGGCUCUU
RNAcentral lists this unclassified non-coding RNA (429 nucleotides) under fungal sp. Its description in RNAcentral is "partial internal transcribed spacer region". The stretch from base 1 to 46 matches the Rfam family "Eukaryotic small subunit ribosomal RNA", at positions 1786 to 1831 of the family's 1831-position model. The record is from RNAcentral. Lineage: Eukaryota; Fungi.